RNAcentral lists this unclassified non-coding RNA (200 nucleotides) under Preussia sp. (in: ascomycete fungi). RNAcentral describes it as "Preussia sp. (in: Fungi) partial internal transcribed spacer 2". The record is from RNAcentral. RNAcentral also lists the same sequence under 1 other name. Lineage: Eukaryota; Fungi; Ascomycota; Dothideomycetes; Pleosporales; Sporormiaceae.
UUAAGUUCAGCGGGUAUCCCUACCUGAUCCGAGGUCAAAAUAAAAGAAUAGGCUUAUGGGAGCCGAUCCACCGGGCUCGAGACCGCGUUUCUGCUGCGCUCGAAGCCAAUGUACCGGCCGCCAAUGUUUUUGAGGCGAGUCCCCCCGCGAGGGGAGGACAGUCACCCAUCACAAGCUGAGCUUGAAGGUUUAAAUGACGC